CCUACGGGGGGCUGCAGUCGAGACUCAUUCACAAUGGGGGAAACCCUGAUCUUGCGACGCCGCGUGGGGGAAUGAAGGUCUUCGGAUUGUAAACCCCUGUCAUGUGGGAGCAAAUUAAAAAGAUAGUACCACAAGAGGAAGAGCCGGCUAACUCUGUGCCAGCAGCCGCGGUAAUACAGAGGUGUCAAGCGUUGUUCGGAAUCACUGGGCGUGAAGCGUGCGUAGGCUGUUUCGUAAGUCGUGUGUGAAAGGCGCUGGCUCAACCCGCGGACGGCACAUGAUACUGCGAGACUAGAGUAAUGGAGGGGGAAGCGGAAUGCGCGGUGUAGCAGUGAAAUGCGUAGAUAUCGAGAGGAACACUCGUGGCGAAGGCGGGUUCCUGGACAUUAACUGACGCUGAGGCACGAAGGCCAGGGGAGCGAAAGGGAUUAGAUACCCUAGUAGUC
This 446-nucleotide ribosomal RNA is filed under the name uncultured bacterium. RNAcentral's name for it is "partial 16S ribosomal RNA". It matches the Rfam family "Bacterial small subunit ribosomal RNA", at positions 338 to 795 of the family's 1533-position model. The record is from RNAcentral.